CGCAGGUUUCGGACUGCCUGUUGUUUCGCGCGCGGGUACCAUGCGCAAUUGCGCAGAAACCACGCGACAAAGAAGGGCAUGACAACUGCUUUGUUAAUUGGAAUAGGCUUCUCGCUAUGUGUGCAGCGAGGGUGGUGAAAAGACUGAGAUAUAAGAUGACACGUGUCACUGAAUGGCACAAGCUCCAGCACCACCCAUCUCCAAUGAUCACCUGAGACAAGAAAACACUAAAAGAUCCAAACGAAGAGGAUGAAUGUACAACGCACUUUCAUCCCCCCAUUCUGUACAAGAGGGCAACAGGGUCUGGAGAAGAGAGGCUAUUACCUGUACGUGGUGCAUCCGACAUCACGGACACCGAUGUUCUUCUUCCAUUCAUCUGGAGUGGCUCACUUUCCAUAGCAAUUACUGGCCGUGAGAUCAAAACUGGACCAUCAGGGGGAAUUGCGUGUCCUCUGGCAGACUGUUGCAUGCGUGUGAAUAGACUGGCCGAUGGUACUUGGCCAUUGAGUGCACUGGCAGAGUGACUCGCAGAGGAAAUUGGUAAACUGACCGACUGAUUACACAUGAAAAAACUGUGGCCGACUGUUACGAACAUCCAUAAGCUUUAAGGUCAUGUAAAUUUGACAAUAAUAGUACAGUAUUAUUCAGGUGCUAUAAAUUUUACUUUAUUAUAUCCUGUAUACAGGCUAGUAUGUAGUAUAUUGUAUUUAGUAAACUCAUUGUGUCUGUUUGUGGUGGUCCACUCUGGAGCUGGUGCAGCAGGCCCUGUCAUCUGCAGGCCAUCUCACAAUGAAGGCCAGCAGAGCUCACUGUCAUAUUACUCCAAGACAUAGGUAAUCAUUAGCCUUGUGACACAUUCAGCUGUUUCCUCUGCUACAAUUAAAGGGAUACUCCACCCCAAAAUGAAAAUUUUGUCAUUAAUCACUUACCCCAUGUCAUUCCA
Long non-coding RNA from Cyprinus carpio (common carp), 943 nucleotides. RefSeq lists it as uncharacterized. The record is from RefSeq and is a predicted model, not a curated record. Lineage: Eukaryota; Metazoa; Chordata; Actinopteri; Cypriniformes; Cyprinidae.